UUGAACGCUGGCGGAAUGCUUUACACAUGCAAGUCGAGCGGCAGCGCGGGGGCAACCCUGGCGGCGAGCGGCGAACGGGUGAGUAAUAUAUCGGAACGUACCCUGUCGUGGGGGAUAACACAGCGAAAGCUGUGCUAAUACCGCAUACGACCUGAGGGUGAAAGCGGGGGAUCGCAAGACCUCGCGCGAUAGGAGCGGCCGAUAUCGGAUUAGCUAGUUGGUGAGGUAAAGGCUCACCAAGGCGACGAUCCGUAGCGGGUCUGAGAGGACGACCCGCCACACUGGAACUGAGACACGGUCCAGACUCCUACGGGAGGCAGCAGUGGGGAAUUUUGGACAAUGGGGGCAACCCUGAUCCAGCCAUUCCGCGUGAGUGAAGAAGGCCUUCGGGUUGUAAAGCUCUUUCAGCCGGAAAGAAAUUGCUUCUAUUAAUACUAGGAGUAGAUGACGGUACCGGAAGAAGAAGCACCGGCUAACUACGU
RNAcentral lists this ribosomal RNA (482 nucleotides) under uncultured bacterium. Its description in RNAcentral is "bacterial SSU rRNA". It matches the Rfam family "Bacterial small subunit ribosomal RNA", at positions 29 to 506 of the family's 1533-position model. The record is from RNAcentral.